AAGCUCCAACUGGACUCCGAAACUCCAAGGCCACACUUCGCUUCUGUGUCUCAUCGUGCUCAACCCCAGUGCCCGAUCUAGGGUUUCAGCCGCCGCCUCCUUUCCCCAGGGCGCCGCCGCCUCCUUCCCCAGGGCGUCGCCGCCUCCAACCUCAUCUACGUCGUCGCUGCCUCCAACCUCAACAUCGUCGCUGCGGCUUCCUUUCCCCACGGCCGCGACCGCCUCCAACCUCAUCUACGUCGUCCCCGCCUCCGUCCUCCACUCCGUUGCUGCGGUUUCCUUUCCCCACGGCUGCCGCCCCAUCCCUUCCCACAGCUGCCGUAGCGCCCAUCAUUUUCUGCCCCCCGCCGCCCCUGCUGUACCCCAUUGCGAACCAGGCGACCAUGCGCGUUGUUGUCGCCGUACCACACCCAUAGAUCUGCAGCAACGGCGAGUGAUGCCGUCGAGUCAGGAACCUGAGACGCCAACCCCCCAUCCAGGCUCGUCGUCAACACGUCGACGAAGCUGAGCUCACCGUCGCCCUGCUGCCCAGACUACGCUUCCUCCUCCCAGUGGACCUCGUCAUCUUCCACCACCACCAGCACCUCCAAAACUUCCUCCGCCGGCUAGCAGCUCGAGGUGGAACAGAAGUCCAUGGCUAAGGCGGCUUCACCGCCACAAGUGGAUUGAACUUCAGUGCGUUUCCUUGGAAGUAUUGAAGGUUAACAACACAAGUCACUGAUUGAUGCUUGCUGAUGAUUUGGUUCAAUAUCAUUGAAGUUCUCAUGCAUUUGGUUCCCAGCCUGAUCUUAGCUUGUACUUUUGGUUCUGGGAUCAACAGUAAUAGCUUGUGGAGUUGUUGAGUCUGAUGUGAACUUGUACUUUUGGUUCUGGGAUCAACAGUACUUGCAUGUAUGCUUUCCAGGAACAUUAUGUAUGUGACUUUUGGAUGAUAAACCAUAUUAAUUAAUGAAGUUCUGAGAUUGUCAAUGA
Molecule: long non-coding RNA, 972 nt
Organism: Brachypodium distachyon (stiff brome)
Lineage: Eukaryota; Viridiplantae; Streptophyta; Magnoliopsida; Poales; Poaceae
Exons: 3
Source: RefSeq, a predicted model, not a curated record